UUCUAUGUGAAUGGCGGUUCCAUAUGGAGAGACCAAUCUUUCAAGCUUUAGUACAAAAACUGUGUGAAAAGCACCUUCUCCAGGAUGCAAGGUAUAUCUCCGUGCAAGAGCAAGUAGCUAUAUUUUUGUAUGCAGUAUCAAAGAACGCAACCAACAGAACAUUGCAAGAUAGAUUCCAGCACGGUGCAGAUUCAAUUAGUACUUAUUUCCACGUCGUGCUCAACGCGAUUACUCGACUCACAUGCAACUACAUACAACCUUCUGUACACCAGCAUCCCAUAUUAAGGCAACAAAAGUUUUCAUACUUUAAGGUAAUGUUUUCAAGCCCUAUCAUGGUGAACUGGUAUUGAGCAAAUUUAGCUUAUAUUUAUAUAUCUAAUUAUAGAAUUAAAUCUGCAGAAUUGUAUUGGAGCUAUUGAUGGUACUCACUUUCCCAUGACUAUUCCUCCUGGGCAACAAGACCCAUACAGAAAUAGAAAAUAAGGUCUUUCACAAAAUGUAAUGGUUGCUUGUGACUUUGACAUGAAGUUUGUGCAUGUACAUGCUGGAUGGGAGGGAUCUGCAUCAGAUGCAAGGGUUUUGCAAGAUGCACUAGACCAUGAAUUUAAUGUACCGCCUGGAAAAUUUUAUCUUGUAGAUGCAGGUUAUGCAAAUACACCCCAAUUCAUUGCUCCAUACUGAGGAACUAGGUACCAUUUACAAGAACAAGGAAGAGUUCAGCAAAGGCCACAGUGCUACAAGGAGUUAUUUAACCUUCGACAUGCACAGCUAAGAAAUCACGUCGAAAGAAUUAUUGGCAUACUGAAAGCAAGGUAUCCCAUAUGUAACGCCCCGAGACCGACGCUCCAGAAGCCUUCCAGUUAUUUCAUUGUUAUCGUGUGUUUUAAUUGUUUGUUGCAUUCAUCAUCGCAUCAUUCGCAUUGCAUCGGCACUCUGUUGCCGUCAUUGUUUUUCAAACUUGCAUCCGCUCGUAGUUGCCGCGUUCCCCCUUGCGUUCAUUGACCGUUCUGAGUCUAACCGGAUUUUUGAUUCUCUCUUGUCUGACCGUUUGACCCUCUCUGCACAACCACCCACCCCCUCGCGCGCGUCCGAAAGUUGUCCCGUACCCGACCCGGUUUGUUGUUACCGUUGGGUCCGGAUCAUCCCCUAACAUCUACAAAAUAUCUCCGUUUUCUUUAUUGGACUCUAUAGCCUAUUUUUCUCGACCGUUCAAUUUUUGAUCGGAGGGUCCGUUUUACCUUAAGCUAGUCCACCUAGCUAUUAAAACAGCCUAACCCUAGUUUUUAGGGGACUUGUCCCAUCCUCCCUAGCCGCGCCGCCACCCACUCAGCAUCUUCCUCGGGAUCCUCCAGAUCCAUCGACUAGCCACCCUCUCCUCGAUCCAAAAUCCCCCUCGCUUUCAGCACCAGGCCAACCACUGCUCGCAGCCGCCUCCCCUCUCGGCUCCCGUGCGUGUCCAGCACCAAAGGAGAGGAGCUCCUCGAGCCCUCGAUCCAGCGGGCAGGUGCCCGAGCGCCUCCUCACCUCGUCCCCGCGCCGCUCGUCGGAAGAACCGGCAGGCCACCAGAGCACCACCACUAGUGACCUCAACCACGAGGGCGUCGCCCUCAUCCACCACGCCAGGAGCCCGAGCUCUUUCUCCCGCGUUCGUGCCCUGCCUCCCGAGACCAGGCGCCCUAUGCCCGCGACCCUCGCCCGAGCCGGCGACCUCCAGCAGCAACAACCUCGCCGGAGAUGGGUUCCCCGUUGUGCCCUGCUCCCUUCCUUCCCCAUCUGCCGUCUCUCUUUUCCUCUCUGUCUCUAAUCUCUCUGCUCCCUCUCUGCCGCCUUGGACAGGGCUUCGACGCCGCCGCUGCCAUGUCUGCCUCCCUCCGCCUCCAGCUCGUCCCCAAGUCCCGCCAGCGCCGCCUCGCCAAGUCGUCGCCGUUCCCACCUUCGGGGCCCAAGCUGCGCUUCAUCACAGGCGAGUCCCUGCCGCGUCGGCCAUCUUCUCCCUCGCCUCGUUCCGCUCGUCUGCAGAGGGCGCGAGGCAUCUCUGCUGCAUCGAGCUGCUGCUCGUUCCACCACCAGCGCGCCCGAUGCCUCCUCCUCACGCGUGCCUGACCUGCGCCAAGCUCCGCCGCCGCCAUUGUUGGGGAACGUAGUAAUUUCAAAAAAAUUCCUACGCACACGCAAGAUCAUGGUGAUGCAUAGCAACGAGAGGGGAGAGUGUUGUCCACGUACCCUCGUAGACCGACAGCGGAAGCGUUAUCACAAUGCGGUUGAUGUAGUCGUACGUCUUCAUGAUCCGACCGAUCAAGUACCGAACGUACGGCACCUCCGAGUUCUACACACGUUCAGCUCGAUGACGUCCCUCGAACUCCGAUCCAGCCGAGUGUUGAGGGAGAGUUUUGUCAGCACGACGGCGUGGUGACGAUGAUGAUGUUCCACCGACGCAGGGCUUCGCCUAAGCUCCGCAACGGUAUUAUCGAGGUGUAAUAUGGUGGAGGGGGGCACCGCACACGGCUAAGAGAUCUCAAGGAUCAAUUGUUGUGUCUCUGGGGUGCCCCCCUGCCCCCCUAUAUAAAGGAGCAAGGGGGAGGCAGCCGGCCAAGAGGAGAGGCGCGCCAUAGGGGGGAGUCCUACUCCCACCGGGAGUAGGACUCCUCCUUUCCUUGUGGGAGUAGGAGAAGGGAAGGGGGAAGGAGAAAGAAGGAAGGGUGCGCCCCCCUUCCCUAGUCCAAUUCGGACCAGACCAUGGGGAGGGGUGCGGCCACCUUUUGAGGCCUUUCUCUCCUUUCCCGUAUGGCCCAUUAAGGCCCAAUACGAAUUCCCGUAACUCUCCGGUACUCCGAAAAAUACCCGAAUCACUCGGAACCUUUCCGAAGUCCUAAUAUAGUCGUCCAAUAUAUCGAUUUUUACGUCUCGACCAUUUCGAGACUCCUCGUCAUAUCCCCGAUCUCCUCCGGGACUCCGAACUCCUUCGGUACAUCAAAACUCAAUAAAACUAUCAUCGUAACGUUAAGCGUGCGGACCCUAUGGGUUCGAGAACUAUGUAGUCAUGACCGAGACACGUCUCCGGUCAAUAACCAAUAGCGGGACCUGGAUGCCCAUAUUGGCUCCCACAUAUUCUACGAAGAUCUUUAUCGGUCAGACCGCAUAACAACAUACGUUGUUCCCUUUGUCACCGGUAUGUUACUUGCCCGAGAUUUGAUCGUCGGUAUCUCGAUACCUAGUUCAAUCUCGUUACCGGCAAGUCUCUUUACUCGUUCCGUAACACAUCAUCCCGCAACUAACUCAUUAGUCACAAUGCUUGCAAGGCUUAUAGUGAUGUGCAUUACCGAGUGGGCCCAGAGAUACCUCUCCGACAAUUGAAGUGACAAAUCCUAAUCUCGAGAUACGCCAACCCAACAAGUAUCUUUGGAGACACCUGUAGAGCACCUUUAUAAUCACCCAUUUACGUUGUGACGUUUGGUAGCACACAAAGUGUUCCUCCGGUAAACGGGAGUUGCAUAAUCUCAUAGUCAUAGGAACAUGUAUAAGUCAUGAAAAAAGCAAUAGCAACAUACUAAACGAUCGAGUGCUAAGCUAACGGAAUGGGUCAAGUCAAUCACGUCAUUCUCCUAAUGAGGUGAUCUCGUUAAUCAAAUGACAACUUAUGUCUAUGGCUAGGAAACAUAACCAUCUUUGAUUAACGAGCUAGUCAAGUAGAGGCAUACUAGUGACACUCUGUUUGUCUAUAUAUUCACACAUGUAUUAUGUUUCCGGUUAAUACAAUUCUAGCAUGAAUAAUAAACAUUUAUCAUGAUACAAGGAAAUAAAUAAUACUUUAUUAUUGCCUCUAGGGCAUAUUUCCUUCAGCCAUCCCGUGCGCGCCUCCGGUCUUCCCCGCCUGGAUCCGGCGCCCUUCGUCCGUCCUCGCCGGAGUCACGCCAAGUUCCCCUGCCUCUGCAUCGCCGAGUUUUGCUGCUGUUUUGUUGGAAACGAGCAGAGGACGAGGCGCCGCUCCCCCGUGCCUCACGUUGACCGCGCCCUGCCUCCUCUCGCCUGGGCCAGCGCGCUGAUUCAAGCCAGAUCCGGCCUGCCUUGGCCUCUCCACCAAACCGGGCCGAAGCCCAUGAGUGAGCAGCACCCGUCCCUCUCCUGUGCACCGCUGGCCCAGUCAGUUUCGGCCCUGUGUUGUUUUUUUCUCUGUCUGCGAUUUUCGCCUAUUAAUGCUGAGAAAACAGAUUUGCAGAAAAACCCUUGAACUUCAUGCAUAUAAUAACUUCACAACCGUGCAUCGGAUUAAAAUAAUUUAUACAUAUUAAAUGCUUAGAAAUUUGUGUAGAUUAAUAAUUUGCCAUUUUCAUCCCAUGUUAAAAUGUUUAAAAUGUUGUUUGUUUAAUUUGCUCAAAUGCCAUGUUAAAAUGCUUUAUUUCAUAACUAAAUAACCGUAACUCGGAUUUAAAUAAACUAUAUAUAUAACUUGCUUGGAAAAAUGCCUAGUUUAACAUGGUGCACUUUAUUUUGCUGUUUAACAACAUUAGGAUUAUGUUUAUGGCAGAACAGUAGCAAAUUCAAAAUAUGCAUAUGAGGAUUUUCCGGAAUUGUUGUUUAUGGUUUCCGGCCUCUUUUAACUUGCUUAAAUAGUUAGUUUCCAUAUGCUUCACCUCUUGCCAUGGUUAAUAACAUUUAAUAUUGUUGGGUCCAUAAAUAAGAGAGAACUAAAUAAUUGAUGUGGUGUUUCUUCAAUAUGCAACUCGUUGCAUAUUGAGCUCCACUUAAUUUGUAGUGUUGUUUGUUGCACUUUGCCAUGCCAUGCCUCAUUAAACCGGACAUGCAUCAUAUUUGUUUUUGCAUCAUGCCAUGUGUAUGUGGUGGUUGUUUACUAUGUUGUUUGUUUCUUUCCGGGUUGCUUCUCUCGUUAGCUUCGGUUUCGUUCCGGAGUUGUGAGGAUUCGUUCGACUCCAUCCGUUUGUCUUCUUCAUGGACUCGCUCUUCUUCCUAGCGGGAUCUCAGGCAAGAUGACCAUACCCUCGAAAUCACUUCUAUCUUUGCUUACUAGUUGUCCGUUCUAUUGCCAUGCCGCGCUACCUACCACUUGCUAUAUCAUGCCUCCCUUAUUGCCAUGUCAGCCCUAACCUUUUCACCCUUCCUAGCAAACCGUUGCUUGGCUGAAAUCUCCUGCACUCCGUUCCAUUCAGUUAGCUUGCUCAGUAGUCCAUAAUUUGUAUGUUACCCUCUUUUCUUGGUCGACUCCCGAAACUUCCCAAGAAAAAUCCCGAAUUGGAUCCAAAAUUGAUGUUACCGCUUUUGCUCAGCCCCUUCUUAUAGCGUUGCUAGUUGCAGGUGAAGAUUAAGUUUGUUCCUUGUUGGACCAUGGAUUUUAUGAACUCUGUUGGGAUAUCACAAUAUCUCUUAUUUAAUUAAUGCAUCUAUAUAUCUGGGUAAAGGGUGGAAGGCUCGGCCUUAUGCCUGGUGUUUUGUUCCACUCUUGCCGCCCUAGUUUCCGUCAUACCGGUGUUAUGUUUCUUGAUUUUGCGUUCCUUACGCGGUUGGGUGAUUUAUGGGACCCCCUUGACAAUUCGCUUUGAAUAAAACUCCUCCAGCAAGGCCCAACCUUGGUUUUACCAUUUGCCUACCUAAGCCUUUUUCCCUUGGGUUCUGCAGACUCAAGGGUCAUCUUUAUUUUAAACCCCCGAGCCAGUGCUCCUCUGAGUGUUGGUCCAACCCGUCAGUCGCCGGUGGCCACCAGGGGCUACUCUGGGCUCGCCUAUCGGAAGCUUGGACAAUCCGGUGUGCCCUGAGAACGAGAUAUGUGCAGCUCCUAUCGGGAUUUGUCGGCACAUUCGGGCGGCUUUGCUGGUCUUGUUUUACCAUUCUCGAAAUGUCUUGUAACCGGGAUUCCGAGACUGGUCGGGUCUUCCUGGGAGAAGGAAUAUCCUUCGUUGACCGUGAGAGCUUAUAAUGGGCUAUGUUGGGACACCCCUGCAGGGUAUUAUCUUUCGAAAGCCAUGCCCGCGGUUAUGUGGCAGAUGGGAAUUUGUUAAUAUCCGGUUGUAGAGAACUUGACACUUGACCUUAAUUAAAACGCAUCAACCGCGUGUGUAGCCAUGAUGGUCUCUUCUUGGCGGAGUCCGGGAAGUGAACACGGUUUCUGGGUUAUGUUUGACGUAAGUAGAGGUUCAGGAUCACUUCUUGAUCAUUGCUAGUUCACGACCGUUCCGUUGCUUCUCUUCUCGCUCUUAUUUGCGUAUGUUAGCCACCAUAUAUGCUUAGUGCUUGCUGCAGCUCCACCUCAUUACCUCAUCUUUCCUAUAAGCUUAAAUAGUCUUGAUCUCGCGGGUGUGAGAUUGCUGAGUCCUCGUGACUCACAGAUACUUCCAAAACAGCUGCAGGUGCCGAUGAUACCAGUGUAGGUGACGCAACCGAGCUCAAGUGGGAGCUCGAUGAAGAUCUUGUUCGUUGUGUUGUUUCUUUUCAUGUUGAUCAGUAGUGGAGCCCAGUUGGGACGAUCGGGGAUCUAGCAGUUGGGUUGUCUUUUUUUAUUUUGGUUCUGUAGUCGGACCUAUGUGUGUAUCUUGAAUGAUGUAUGAUUUAUUAUGUAUUGUGUGAAGUGGCGAUUGUAAGCCAACUCUUUAUCCCAUUCUUGUUCAUUACAUGGGAUUGUGUGAAGAUGACCCUUCUUGCGACAAAACCACAAUGCGGUUAUGCCUCUAAGUCGUGCCUCGACACGUGGGAGAUAUAGCCGCAUCGUGGGCGUUACACCAUACUAAAGGCAGCUACAAUGUUUGAUAUUGACACACAAGUUGAUACUGUUGUACCGUGUUGUGUAUUGCACAAUUUCAUAAGGCUACACAAUGGAGAUAUGACACUGCCUGAUAGAGCUACAAUGGAUGUUAAUGAAAGCAAUAUGAAGGAUGUACCAGAUGGAGAUGUCAAAUACAAAAAAGAUGUGAUUGUAUUUAACAACUUGAGACAAGCUGAAAAUGAGAUGCGAGAUGCCAUGGCAAUGCAAAUGUGGGCAGAUUACAUUGCUAGAAGAUAAGCAUAUGUAUUGUGUAAUUUUCCCUUAUGUUAUGUAACUAUUUGGUUGUACUGUACUCAAUAUGGGCAGAUUACAUUGCUAGAAGAUAAGCAUAUGAUUAUUUUAGUCAAAAACUGCAGAAAGACAUUGCUUUAGGAGCCAUUUAACAUUGCAUUAAAAUUCUAAUGAGUUUGACACUUCCAUAAUCAUGUGCCCAGUAAUGCACAUGCACAACCUACUACAAGUUAAAUAUGACAAGUGCAUCAUAACCAUGUGUCCAGAGAUGCACAUGUACAAAAUAUAUCACAUCCUAUUACAAGUUACCUACGCCAAGGAUCAUAUCCAUGUGUCCAUAAAUGCACAUGCACAAAAUAUAUCUCAGUUUUAAGCUAGCCCUCCCCUAGUACGAAAUACUAGUUCAUUUGAUUAGGUAUUCCGAAUUUUUCCAGUCAACUAACCUAACCGUAAUUCGUUACUUGAAAAUGAUAGAAAUACUUCCCUGUUCUCCUUGUUGGCGGUGAAGAUGUCCGCUGCUUUUAGCAUAUCGGCCAUCGAAAGACCCUCCAACCUUUCAAGUGCUUUGAUGCAUUUCUUGAUGCUGAAGGGGUCCUUUAAUUUCCUCUCCUCAAUGGCUGCAUACCUAUCUAUUUCUUCCCUUCUGAAUUUCAGGUAUCUCUCAUGAAAAUCAUCAAUACUGGUCGUCUUUUGCUUUUUCGCUCUCUUCCUGCUAGUAACCUCAGGAGCUGAGCUAGAUGGUCGACGAUUGCGAUGUACAACUUGUGGAAUUUCAUGCAAGGUUUGUCCAACAUGUUGUGAGGAAAUUGGUAUUGCUUCAACUUGUGGAGCAUGUACUGUCAAGUCAUUUCCUUGAGCCGAGUUUGCCUCAACUUGUGGAGCAUGUACUGUCCGGUAUUUGGGAACAUCAUGAUCUCUUAAGAGUUCAAUGAGAUAUGCCUUCAUCUGAUGAUUCCACUUGGCUCUACCAGAAUUCUUAGCG
Molecule: long non-coding RNA, 7985 nt
Filed under: Triticum aestivum (bread wheat)
Lineage: Eukaryota; Viridiplantae; Streptophyta; Magnoliopsida; Poales; Poaceae
Description: long non-coding RNA (TAES_LNC013489)
Source: RNAcentral